This is a long non-coding RNA of Cyprinus carpio carpio, 1454 nucleotides long. The record is from Ensembl. NCBI's taxonomy places the organism in Eukaryota, Metazoa, Chordata, Actinopteri, Cypriniformes, Cyprinidae.
AAUAAAGGCUCGAGCAGAAACGCCUGGCUGCUGGAACGACCCCGCCAUGGGAACAUUUUCAAACUGUCUGUAUAAAUUGAAUAGCGUGAAGAAAAACAACAAGAACAUGUAAAUAUCUAUUUUGAUCCGUUGGUAGAAGCAGAACUGCCCUUCUGGGAUUUGAUGCUAUAAAUGCCUCCGAACGUCGAGGUCGAGGACUUUACCAGUUAAACCUGAAACACCAAAACAUGAUCAACAGGUCCAUCUGAGAAUUAAAAGACAAAAGCAGGGAAAUCAUGAACUAAACGACUGACAGAACCUACAUCCAUUCAGAUAAGAGACGGAUAAAAACAGCAGAAUCCUAUAUGAGAAAUCAGUCAGAGCGUGGCAUCUGGGGCGUUUCAGAGACGUCAUGUAAUGAUGCGACUUUCAGCUUCCUGAGUCUGUUUUCUAAAUGAGAUGCAGCAGUUGGCCAUGUCUGUUCUGUUCCAGCGUGAUUUUCUCUUUAUAACAGCUCAGUAACUCGUUGUUGUGGUGUGCGAGCCCGUCCUAUAUUAGUGGAGCGAAUCCACUGCAAAAAUACGUUUCUAUGCUUCCCUAGAAAGUGAGUGUAUUUACUCUGAGCUGACGGAGAUAUGCUGGUGAGACGAGCGUCGCGAGGCGUCUUGGGUGAGAAGGUCUGCCCAGAUACAGGAGAGAGCAGAUAACAUGCAGAAAUUGACAGAUUCGAUGCCAGAUCUUCCCUUUAAUGGGCGAGCAAGCUUUUAAAACGUUUUUAACUCAAAUACAUAGAGUCUAUAAUCCAUAAUAACACUUCCUCCAGUGAAAAAGUGUUCUGGUGUGAAUCAGGAGAGAAAUCUGCACAGAUCAAGCAGUGUUUGGAUUAUUGUGAUGUUUUUAUCAGCUGUUUGGACUCUCAUUCUGACGGCACCCAUUCACUGCAGAGCACUGAUGCAGUGACACAUUUCUACAAACCUGAUGAAGAAACAAACUCAUCCUGAUAUCAGAUGAACUACAGUAAGUGUGAGCACAUUUUCAGCUAAUCUUCCUUUUUGGGUAAACUAUUUCUUUUAAAAUAAAAAAGGGACAUUUAUAAUGGCUACUGGGCCCUGUCUUGUUGGUUGAUGUGAUGCUAUUAACAUUAAUCUGCUCUCAUUCUAGCCAUGGGCACAUAAACAACACAGUUUUGUAGCCAAUUAGCCUAAUAGCUGCUGUAAUAUCCACGAUAAGAGUGUUCACAUGAUUUCUGUCACCAGGUUCACUGGCGCUGUCAGUACAGACACAUGCCAACAGCAACAGCAGCUCAACUGAGGCUUUCCAGAGUUUUAUUGCAUUAAAUGACAAAGAUAACAAGCUGUCAUUGCAGAUUUUGUUUUAAGCUCUGGCUUCAUAGCUUUAUGUAAGAGAACUGGAACGCUGGAAUAAGGCCUAUGUGAGCUGAAACAGUGAUAUUUUGAAAGCAUCCCAAACAUGCU